AGCUCUGUAAGCGUAUACCCAAGUUGUUGCAGUUAAAACGCUCGUAGUCGGAGUUUGGCGGGCAGGGGGCGGUUCGAUGCUUGUCGCUACUGCCCCAUUUGCCUGUGAUUUUGGCGGAGGCCUCAGGGUGCUCUUAAUCGAGUGUCCUGGGGCGCCGCCAGGUUUACUUUGAAAAAAUUAGAGUGCUCAAAGCAGGCCUGACACGCCUGAAUAUUAGUGCAUGGAAUAAUGGAAUAGGACGUCGUUUCUAUUUUGUUGGUUUUCGGAAAUUGACGUAAUGAUUAAUAGGGACAGUCGGGGGCAUUAGUAUUCAGACGACAGAGGUGAAAUUCUUAGACCGUCUGAAGACUAACUACUGCGAAAGCAUUUGCCAAGAAUGUUUUCAUUAAUCAAGAACGAA
RNAcentral lists this ribosomal RNA (400 nucleotides) under phytoplankton environmental sample. Its description in RNAcentral is "partial small subunit ribosomal RNA". It matches the Rfam family "Eukaryotic small subunit ribosomal RNA", at positions 587 to 987 of the family's 1831-position model. The record is from RNAcentral.